Long non-coding RNA from Poecilia latipinna (sailfin molly), 391 nucleotides. RefSeq lists it as uncharacterized. The transcript is spliced from 2 exons. The record is from RefSeq and is a predicted model, not a curated record. Lineage: Eukaryota; Metazoa; Chordata; Actinopteri; Cyprinodontiformes; Poeciliidae.
GUGGGUUUUUACUCAGAGGCUCAGGCUGGAGUGCAGAAAAUCUGUUUUUCAGUGGGAUUCCCACGGAGUCUGAAUGUUUUGAGGCUUGGGCUGGUCGCUUUGUCCUUGGGAGCGGGGUCGGUGUUGAAGUUGAAGGUGGGUUUCGGCUCAGAGCCGGCCACGCUGUUUCGUCCAGGUGAGGUGUUCCCCCCGUUAGUCGUCUCAUGGGAUCUGCAGUGUGAGACUUUUGUUUCGGCUUGGCGCCCUGAGAGUUCCAGGGUGAGCUGCUUGGUGCGGGGUGUACGACCUCUCCGCUGGUUUGAGGAAGAGUUGUUUCAUUUCCACAGGUAGCGUUGAUCUCAAAGUUCACCUCCAGCCGUUGAAUCUUCGUUUCUAAAAACUGAAGUCGUUG